Molecule: ribosomal RNA, 429 nt
Filed under: Chloroflexota bacterium
Lineage: Bacteria; Bacillati; Chloroflexota
Description: Chloroflexi bacterium partial 16S ribosomal RNA
Rfam family: Bacterial small subunit ribosomal RNA
Source: RNAcentral
UGGGGAAUAUUGCACAAUGGGCGCAAGCCUGAUGCAGCCAUGCCGCGUGUAUGAAGAAGGCCUUCGGGUUGUAAAGUACUUUCAGUCGGGAGGAAGGUGGUAAGGUUAAUAACCUUAUCAAUUGACGUUACCGACAGAAGAAGCACCGGCUAACUCCGUGCCAGCAGCCGCGGUAAUACGGAGGGUGCAAGCGUUAAUCGGAAUUACUGGGCGUAAAGCGCACGCAGGCGGUUGAGUGAGUCAGAUGUGGAAUCCCCGGGCUUAACCCGGGGAUUGGCUCUGAUACUGGUCAGCUAGAGUCUUGUGGGAGGGGGUAGAAUUCCAUAUGUAGGGGUGAAAAGCGGAGGGAAGUGGAGGAAUAACGGUGGCGAAGGCAGCCCCCUGGGCAAGGAAUGACGGUCAGGUGGGAAAGGGUGGGGAGCAAAAAGG